AUUGAACGCUGGCGGCAUGCCUUACACAUGCAAGUCGAACGGUAACAGGUCUUCGGAUGCUGACGAGUGGCGAACGGGUGAGUAAUACAUCGGAACGUGCCCGAUCGUGGGGGAUAACGAGGCGAAAGCUUUGCUAAUACCGCAUACGAUCUACGGAUGAAAGCGGGGGAUCUUCGGACCUCGCGCGGACGGAGCGGCCGAUGGCAGAUUAGGUAGUUGGUGGGAUAAAAGCUUACCAAGCCGACGAUCUGUAGCUGGUCUGAGAGGAUGAUCAGCCACACUGGGACUGAGACACGGCCCAGACUCCUACGGGAGGCAGCAGUGGGGAAUUUUGGACAAUAGGCGAAAGCCUGAUCCAGCCAGGCCGCGUGCAGGAUGAAGGCCUUCGGGUUGUAAACUGCUUUUGUACGGAACGAAAAGCCUCUUUCUAAUAAAGAGGGGUCAUGACGGUACCGUAAGAAUAAGCACCGGCUAACUACGUG
This 482-nucleotide ribosomal RNA is filed under the name uncultured bacterium. RNAcentral describes it as "partial 16S ribosomal RNA". It matches the Rfam family "Bacterial small subunit ribosomal RNA", at positions 30 to 507 of the family's 1533-position model. The record is from RNAcentral.